UUCCUUUUCCACAGAAAUGUUCUAUUUAUAAGACUAAAUUAGGUAUGUAAUUUUAUCGUUUUAUCUCUGUAUUAUACACAAACAUCCACACAAACACACAUACUUUAACUGUGUAGUAGGUUUUUUUUAUACUUUUUUAUUUUAUUUUGAUCAACUUUCGUUUCAGUUGUUUUGUGAGAUAUGUUAGAACACGUUGAAUGUCUUACUAAUUAUGCCUAUUUCAACUAUGUUUUUAUUGUGUGCUUCUAUUUUUGUGGAAUUUUGUCUUUAUUGUUUCCGCGUAAUGCGUUGUUGGGACAUAGAAAUAUUGGGCGUCCUUAAAUACCGUCCUUCACUCCGUCCACACGUCUGUCCGUCCGGUCUUGUUUAAUAGCGCGCUCUUACUAAUAUCUACAAUUCUUGCCAAAUUUUUAUAAAACUUAUAACGCAGGUUUACAUCAACAAUGUAUUCGACUAUAUAGUUCGAUAUAUAAGCAGUUCUGAUCAUGUACAUGAUGUAUUUAUAAAAGAGAUAGAAUGUGUAUAAGCCAUUUAGAAUCAUUAAUUGGAAAAUCGCAUUGUCAGCGGAAUCAUUUGUACAAUUUGUGACAGAACUUUAUAAAACUUAUACGGUAGGUUAUAUUAUUAAUAUCUAAUACGAGUGUGAAAAGCAAUGCCAAUCGAUAAUUUUUAAUAGACGUGUUACGAAAUUGUAUCUACUCGACGCUGAGGUUGACAAAAAAUUAGACUUUAAAUGCCGGUAUCGGAUCAAAGCAAACAAGUUAUUUAAAUAUUUUAAUUAUCUGUGCAUCAUGGUGUUAAACUGCAUAGUAAUGAUAAAAAGAAAACAAACAAAAAUACUGAACUCAGAAGAAAAUUUAAUCGGAAAGUCCAUUAUAACAUGGCAAAAUCAAAAGACAAAACAGAUCAAUAACGAAUGGACAAGAACUGUCAUGUCCGCUUAUAUUUACUUCAAUAACACACGUCUUUUUAAAAACUUUAUCAUAGCUAAUUUCCUGUUGAAUAUUCCUUAAGGAACAAAUAUGAUAUAAUAAUUAUUCCGUGAAGAAUAAAUGAUAUAUACCCCGUUUAACUUUGGAAAUACAUUUCCUUGGAUUGUUUCUUUUGUUGACUAGUAUAUACUAAUCUGUUUGAUACCUACUAAGAAAAAGAUUGAUUUCCUUUAUAUUAUUUUCAUGUAAAAUGUGACCGGUUUGACCCAACAACAUCUAUAUAUAUUCCUGCAACCAAGUGAAACUAACAAUUUUUAGUAUGGCGUUCAUUAUCAUCUAUAUUUGUUUAGGGCCAGCUAGAAUUUCUCGCUAUUGAAGAUGUUGGUGACCCUCUGCUGUUGUUUUUUAUUUGGGCGGGUUGUUUGUCUCUUUGACACAUUCCCCAUUUCCAUUCUCAAUUUUAAAGUUUCAAAAUAUUCCGUUUUGUAACUUUCUGAAGUAAUGUACGAGGUAUGCCCCUUGGAAAAAAAAUUGUAACGAAAAUUGCCUUACAUUUGCCUUGAAGCGUUCAUUUCUUUAAGAUUAUUAUAAAAAGUUUUUAGAAUGACGAUAACCGAAAAAAAGUUGUUUUUGUAAUUGUCCUUGUUCCUCAACAGAUAAAAAAAACUUUGGUCAUCUUCUUUUUCUUUCUUUUUUAAAAUUUAAUGUUGUUUUUAUACAUGUACCAUGCAUACUCUUUAAAUAAAGUUUAACAACAUUUUAUGUGUUUUAGAAUUACAAAAACUAUAUGUGAAAAACUUCUAAAUUUUAUAGUCGAAGUGUUUCGAGUAGUUUUUGGGGAGUAUAGUUUCAAGUUUAACAUAUAUGUUUCUACCCUCGUGUGGAUCGUAUACUUGGUAAAUUAUAAGAACGACAAGUAUGCGGUGAUUGGAAGAUGAUUUUGGCCGCAGUGAAUUACUUAUUAUCGAGCAAAAAUAUUUAUAUUACGAUACAAAAACUGGUAUUUGCUGUUAGUUCGCUAAGCAUGCUGCAAAAAAGAGUUAUUGACUCGGAGGUCAGAAGCUUAUAGUAAGCCAACACGUCUUAUGUUAUGUAUGUCAUUUUCUUAAAAUUAGCUGUAAAAAUAAUGAUAUUGAAUUUAAAUGAAACUUGAACUUUAAAUUAUUAUUAAAGGCCUUAAAGAUAAAUUAAAUUAUAACCAAUAAAGUAUGCGAGACAUUUCAGAAUAUAUUAGAUAAAAUUGAGAAUGGAAUUGGGGAAUGUGAAAAAGAGACAACAACCCGACCAUAGAAAAAACACAACAGUAUUCAUGUAAGUACAUGCAAUCUAUUUUAGGAUUAUGGCCACCAAUUGGGGUAUUUGUGGUAUUUGUGAAAACCUUCAGAUUACCAAACCUUCAGUAGUAUGGUGUUCCGAAUGUGACGAAGGACUUUGUGGAGAGUGUAAGAAACAUCAUGCAGUUUCCAAGGCAUCAAAAAACCAUGAAACCGUUUCUAUCGCCAAAUACAAAAACUUACCCACCGAAGUCCUGCAAAUCUCUCAGACCUGCAAACUUCAUAAUGAGAAAUACGAGCUGUUUUGUGCAAAACACGAUUGUCCUUGCUGUAAGAAAUGUGUGAAAUCUCACAACGAUUGUAAAGGUUUAACUGACAUAAAUGAACUCAUAAAAAACGUAAAAACUUCAAACGCAUUUAAUGAAAUCGAACAAACCCUGCAGGAAGUCGUCGAGAAUAUUAAACGACUAAGCACAAACAGGAAUGAAAAUUUAAAAUCUAUAGAAAACAAGAAAAGAGAAAUUGAAGCAGCAAUAAAACAAACCAGGAUACAAAUCGUUAAUCACCACCUUGAUAAACUUCAGGAUGACUUGAUUAAAGAACUAAUGACAGUUGAACAAAGAGAAAAAAGCAAAAUAGAAAAAUUGUUGACUUCUCUAAAAAGAAGGAAAAAGAGAUCAGUGAAGAAGUACAAGAAAAAUUUGCCAGUAUUAAACAGCAUGCGUCCGAACUUCAAACAUUUUUAACAAUGAAAGAUAUCGAAAAAAAUAUUGCAGGCGAAGAAAUAUUUAUUCAAUCGAUUGCCACAAGUGACUCCACAAAUCAAGUCAAUAUUUCAUGUCAGAUUAACAAGUCUUUGCAACAAAUUACAGAUAGCGUGCAGAAGUUUGGGGAAAUUAAUGUUUGUUCUGAUCCAUGUGAUUUUUCGAUUCACAAACGGAAGGACAGACAAGCCCAG
This 3164-nucleotide long non-coding RNA is filed under the name Mytilus galloprovincialis (Mediterranean mussel). The record is from RNAcentral. Lineage: Eukaryota; Metazoa; Mollusca; Bivalvia; Mytilida; Mytilidae.